Molecule: ribosomal RNA, 263 nt
Filed under: uncultured Thermanaerovibrio sp.
Lineage: Bacteria; Thermotogati; Synergistota; Synergistia; Synergistales; Synergistaceae
Description: partial 16S ribosomal RNA
Rfam family: Bacterial small subunit ribosomal RNA
Source: RNAcentral
CACGUAAAGGUGGGGACGUCUCAGUGGACUGCCGGCGACAAGCCGGAGGAGGGUGGGGACGACGUCAAGUCAUCAUGGCCCUCAUGUCCAGGGCGACACACGUGCUACAGUGGCCGGCACAACGGGAAGCGACGGCGCGAGUCGUAGCGGAUCCCUCAAAGCCGGUCCCAGUUCGGAUUGCAGUCUGCAACUCGACUGCAUGAAGCCGGAAUUGCUAGUAAUCGUGGAUCAGCCAAGCCGCGGUGAAUACGUUCCCGGGCCUU